UCCUUAAACUCAUAUUUCUGAUAUUGUUCAGAGUUUUACGGGAUAAUCUACGAGGUAAGCUAUAAUUUUUAUGUAUUUUCCUCAAUGCUUAAUUAUCUGGAUUUGCAUGCAAGCUCUACACCUCACAGUAUCUUUUUGCGGUUUUUAUUUUUGCAAUUUUUAUUUGGAUCAGGGUGCCUGUGGCUCAGUGGUAUUUUUAGUGCUAACAUUUAUGCAUUUUCUGAUCAUGUUCAGUAGGACAUUUAUUGGUUGCAUGUUAUGUGUUUGAUCAAAUGUCAAGACGAUAUUUUUGGGUAUGUUUUCUUAUUUCUUAUUUUAAUUUUAAAUUUGUGGCACUUUUAAAAUUAUUAGUUAUAACUAAAAAGUGUAGUUUGGUUGGAUCCAAUCUAUACUUUGAAAUAAACAACUCGCUUUCAUAUUUGUUUUUUGUUUUUUAUUUCCCUCAACUGCCAUUUCCCGUUGGCCUAGAGCUACAACUAGAGCUGCCAAGGUAUUUCUAGCAUUCUCCAUCUUCGGAUUUUUUUUUAUUUUUCUGCUUCUUCAGCUUCUUUUAGAUUUGUUGACAGUACAAGUUUUUUUUUUUUUUUUUUUGCUUGAUCAGGUUCUGAGGGUAAUUUUAGGAGCCUCCAUUCCCAUUUGUUAAAGGGCCAAGAUGGUUUUCCUUUUGCAAUGAAGGUAUUAUGUUCCAAGACAUUACUACUCUAUUGCUUUCUGUUGUUGCAGUAGGUAUUAUGUUCCAAGACAUUACUACAUUCUGCUUCACUAGUCGGUGAUGUGUUUCUUUCCACCAUAUCAUUCAUGUCUACCUUUGUUUUUGCAGUUGAAAAAUAGGAGUAGCAAGCAUGGGAUUGAUGAGUGUUUCUGGGUUUUGUUUUUAUGUUCCUGGUGUUGGAAGUUUUAAGUUUUGUUUUGUUUUUUUGCCAAAUUUCCUCAGUUUUUGUGUGGAUUAUGGUUUUAUUUUUUUUUUGUUUUUUUUUCUUUUUUCCUUUUAAUCUCUUUGCAGGAAAUCGUGCCACUUAAGGAAGUUUUUCAAACUCUGAGGUGUGAUUCAAAUGGACUCACAAGUCACAAUAGCAUCUGCAGAAAGGCUUUCACAUUCCGGCAAGGAUAGGAUUCUCGCUUCAAUAUUCACAAAAUUGAAAUUAUUGUGGCUCUUCCAUCAACCAAUGAUUGGAAACUAUUUGUUUUUUGUUAUUCUUAUAUGACAAAUAAGUCAUUGAUUCUUACUCAAUUUUUGUUGCUCGAGAUUAUGCAUUUUUUUAU
Molecule: long non-coding RNA, 1263 nt
Organism: Glycine soja
Lineage: Eukaryota; Viridiplantae; Streptophyta; Magnoliopsida; Fabales; Fabaceae
Exons: 4
Source: RefSeq, a predicted model, not a curated record